Gadus chalcogrammus (walleye pollock) is the source of this 3490-nucleotide long non-coding RNA. RefSeq lists it as uncharacterized. The transcript is spliced from 4 exons. NCBI's taxonomy places the organism in Eukaryota, Metazoa, Chordata, Actinopteri, Gadiformes, Gadidae. The record is from RefSeq and is a predicted model, not a curated record.
UCGGAGGCCAGACCUACCUGUGAAAGAAGAGCAGGAUGGAGAGCAGUGUCUGGUCGAUGUUGCGGUUGCAGAUGCCCUCGUUGAGCAAGAAGCAGGGGUCCCGGACCACCGCCUCCAGGGAGUCCUGCCUCAUGAUGCUCCUCAGCUUGUCCGCGUUGAGGUUCUCGUACACCAGCUGCUCCCGGAGCUGGCGGAAGUGGCUGACGCUGGGGCUGAGGGGGCUGCCGGGUGGCCCUGACCCCGGCGGGCCCCCCCUGGCCCCGGCAGGGGUCCCGGGGUAGUCGCUGCCGCUGGCCAGGUCCAGGCAGCAGCUGCAGCAGUCCAGGCCGACCGGGGAGCGGCAGGCAUCCUCGGACAUCACCUCCAGGAGCACAGUCUAGCGCCUGGAGACAGAGGGAGGAGCCUCGAGACAGAGGGAGGAGACAGAGGGAGGCACCUGGAGACAGAGGGAGGAGCCCCACUGGGACCGAGGGGAGGAGCCCCGCUGGGACCGAGGGGAGCAGCCCCGCUGGGACCGAGGGGAGGAGCCCCGCUGGGACCGAGGGGAGCAGCCCCGCUGGGACCGAGGGGAGGAGCCCCGCUGGGACCGAGGGGAGAUCCACCAUCUGGCUGGACUGUGAUCCCCCAAGAGGUUAAGCAAUCUUAACUCGGCCUUUGGAGCUCCUGGGCCAAGCUUUCCCGCAACUCCUGAACUGUUUCUACAACGCUGAUCCUGCCUGUUUCCGAACCCUCGUCUGUCUGACCACCCGCCUGUUGUCGAGUCCCUGCCGGCCUGUCUGCUUCCCUGUUUCCUGCUCCUCGGCUGCCUGUCUGCCCUCCCGUUGCCGACCCCUCGCCUGCUGACCCACCGAUGAUUCCCUGCCCACCUGUUGGUGACUUACUGUCUGCUCUCUGCCUGCCCGAUCCUGUACCGGAUUAAAUCCUUGAAACUGUCCUCAACUGUUGUCUGUCCCUGCACUUGGGUUCUGCCUAACCCCCCCCCCCCAUACAAAACGAAAUCAAUGUGAGGUGGCACUAAAGCUGGUGAAAGAGCUAAGGCUUCUGGGAAGUUGUGAAGGACAUGGAAUAUUAACUAUGACAUCUCAUAGAAGAAUUCGGAUUGAGGCUGGUUAACCGAUAAGAGCCCUAAAUUACUUAAAAUGUCUUACUUGAGCCAAAAUACACGGAACAUCUUGAUAUUGUCACACAAUUUCAACUCUUUCAUCUUUUACAGGAAUUUGGGUUCAGAGAGAGAGAUCCUAUGAAUCAGAAUAUGGUUUUUGGAUUAUGAGUUAUAAAUGGCUGUUGCUUGGGGCCAACAGCCUUCCACCCCAUGACUCUGAUCCCAUCUGUUACAGAUGGCUCACUGGCUAGAGAGAAAAAGAGAGAGAGGAAGAUGAUUGGCUAUCAUUGGUCAUCACCACGUGUUAAUGUGUCCACUGAGGAAGUACGAUUUUGUUUGGUGAGCGUGUGAUGAGAAGAAGAUAAAAAGGAGGAUUGUUCAGCAGACGAACAAACAAAUAAAACAUGAAGUCUUACUGUUUCAGACAACAGGGAACCCCUCAUCUUCUCUGUAGGAAAAUACCAGGGUUUUCCACAGAGGCACAAGUAAUCAUUUGCCUAUGUAUUGAUUGGGGUCCAUAUAAUAAAUCAUUCCUCUUAUACUAAGGGUAGAAUACUAGGAUAGAAUAUAAGGGGUUGGCUUUGUUCAGGAGGUAGAGCGAUUUGGAUGGUAACUAGUAGAAGGUUUGAUCCCGGCUCCUUCUAGCUGAGUGUCGAGGUGUCCCUGAGCAAUACGCCUCAGCCUGACUGCUCCCAAUUAGCUUAUUGGCGCCCUUGCCUCCGCCGUCGGUAUGUGAUUGUGUGUAUAAACUGUAAUAUCUCAUAUUUCAAUAUGGAAAGGAAAGAUAAUAAUUUCACUAGAGAGCAAAUACCACCAAUGGAUUAAUUUAACAUUCAUGUUUUUCUUUCUUCCAAAGUAAGAGACACAAGCAUAGAUUUAGACUAAUGUGUUGUCCCUUUGUGUCCAAAGGCUAACAGAUCAACAUACACUGAAAGAGAAUUUAAUCGGUUGAAUCUGAAUUGAUAAGAUAGCAUUUUUGCUCUCUUAAAAAUAGUUUGACCCAUUCGAUUAGACCACUCCAAUAAUGUUAUGAUGGAAACAUACAGUUAUAAACCAGUCAUACCGUCCAUCAUACCUGAAGGACCUCAUCAUUUCACGGCCCCUCCGGUCUUCGGGAGAAAAAAGUCGUCUGGACAGAGAGCAUUCGCCUAUCGAGCGCCCUAUCUAUGGAAUAGUUUGCACCUGUAAUCAGGAAAACUGACUCUGUCGACCUAUUCAAAGCAAAGCUAAAAACGCACCUCUACAGCCUUUCAUUUGGAACAUAGGGGUGGGGAAAACAACACUGAGGCGAUGUAAAUAUCGAUUGCUCUUGCUUUGUUCUUGCUGUUGUUUGUGCAGUUACUAAAUUAGUAGCAGUCUACUAUAUACUUUUUCCCUUCUAAUUCAUUAUUCUGUCUGUUCCAUCAUCUUGCGGUGACUGCAAAUGGAUGCCUAGGCUCUCCUUAUGGUUAACUGGCCAGCACCCCAUCAUCGAUAUAAUAUGUUUUGCCUGUAUGUAUGCCAAUUAUGGCACCCAUUGCACUCCUGACCGGCCUGGAAGGAGGGAACCCCACCCUUCUCUAGAUUUAUUGCUUGCUGAUUAAGGGAGCUUUUUCUUGCCCUUGUGGGGGCUUCGGUCAGGGGAGUGUCAUAACUCCCCUGUUAUGACACUGUAAUGGUGAUUAAGGACUCUACAAAUACAAUUGUAUUCAUUUAAUCAAUCCUGAAUAGAUUGUCACAUGGUUAGGUAUUGAUCUUGACAUACUGUCCAUAAUGGCAGCAGAGAGAAAGGCAAUGAAACAUCCACUCUGUACAUCCACUCUUGCCAAUACCUAUUGAUCAUGUUUAUUCUGUCUCUAGAUUAUCCAUCUCCUUGAUCUUAUGCAAAUUACCUGCCACAUUUGCAGAUGGAUGAUUAAAAGUGUUGAUUGAUUCUCCCUUUAUUAUAUCUGGGGAAAUGCUCUUGUUUGUGAACACAAGGCGAGUUUGUGACUUGACUGCUCUCAUAUGGAUUCCUGUCGCCCUCACAACUCAUACUGUUCCCCUUGUAUUGACAACCAUCACGUUGUAUUUGCACACACACCAUUGUGUCAUGUAACUUUGUAAUUAGGUAAGGAAUUAGACCAUUGACUAAUGAGGGGUUAAUCUCAUGGUGUGAAUUAAAUCUUCAAUUGGUAAUUGCCAGACACCUGUGACAUUGAGUAUUAUACAGUACAUCAGACUACGGAUAGCUUGGUUAUUCACUCAUAAAAAAGAAAAUCCGGAUUCACAGCAGAAGUUUCCAAUCAUUCGGAUCAUUCCAAUCACAGGAGCAAAUGUGAUUCCAAUCAUUUGAAGGGUUGCAGGUAGGUCACAAACACACACACUCUCACACAUUCGUCAGUUUUCUCUCUCCGUCUCUCAUGCGUU